Molecule: ribosomal RNA, 691 nt
Filed under: Pratylenchus sp. CD1302
Lineage: Eukaryota; Metazoa; Nematoda; Chromadorea; Rhabditida; Pratylenchidae
Description: eukaryotic LSU rRNA
Rfam family: Eukaryotic large subunit ribosomal RNA
Source: RNAcentral
AAAGUUGAAAAGCACUUUGAAGAGAGAGUUAAAGAGGACGUGAAACCGAUGAGGCGGAAACGGACAGAGCCAGCGUAUCUGGCCUGCAUUCAGCUUGCGCGCUCGUCGCCGAUGAAUCGCCGCUCUCCAGAUUGGGACUGUUGACUAGUCGGUCGGCGAUUGUGUGCAAGUGCAUUUGCAGGUGGAGUGCGUCGAGCCGUCUGGGGCGGCGGCAUGAACCGGGCUUUGAGGCCAGCUUGCUGGUACCCGKRCCCAGGGGAUUGCUGUUCGUUCUGGAUGUUUUGUUGGGGGCAAGGCUGUGUGCGGACCCGGUUGGGUGCCGAGCUGGAUGUCGGUGGCGGUCGCUUGCGACACGUGCUGCGCAGCCAGUUCGGUCCUGRCCGCGAGUCCACUCAUGUGUGUCCCAGUCUCGGCGUAAAAGCUGGUCAUCUUUCCGACCCGUCUUGAAACACGGACCAAGGAGUUUAUCGUGUGCGCGAGUCAUUGGGCGUUGAAAACCCAAAGGCGCAAUGAAGGUGAACGUGUCCGCUAGGAGCCGACGUGCGAUCCCGGUUGCUUCGGUUGCCGGGCGCAGCAUGGCCCCAUCCCGACUGCUCGCAGUGGGGUGGAGGAAGAGCGCAGGCGAUGAGACCCGAAAGAUGGUGAACUAUUCCUGAGCAGGACGAAGCCAGAGGAAACUCUGGUGGAAGUC